This 253-nucleotide ribosomal RNA is filed under the name uncultured bacterium. RNAcentral's name for it is "partial 16S ribosomal RNA". It matches the Rfam family "Bacterial small subunit ribosomal RNA", at positions 524 to 776 of the family's 1533-position model. The record is from RNAcentral.
UACAGAGGUCUCAAGCGUUGUUCGGAUUCAUUGGGCGUAAAGGGUGUGUAGGUGGCGCCGUAAGUCGGGUGUGAAAUUUCGGAGCUUAACUCCGAAACUGCAUUCGAUACUGCGGUGCUUGAGGACUGGAGAGGAGACUGGAAUUCAUGGUGUAGCAGUGAAAUGCGUAGAGAUCAUGAGGAAGACCAGUGGCGACGGCGGGUCUCUGGACAGUUCCUGACACUGAGACACGAAGGCCAGGGGAGCAAACGGG